AGUGAACGCUGGCGGUAGGCCUAACACAUGCAAGUCGAACGGCAGCACAGUAAGAGCUUGCUCUUACGGGUGGCGAGUGGCGGACGGGUGAGGAAUACAUCGGAAUCUACUUUUUCGUGGGGGAUAACGUAGGGAAACUUACGCUAAUACCGCAUACGACCUACGGGUGAAAGCAGGGGAUCUUCGGACCUUGCGCGAUUGAAUGAGCCGAUGUCGGAUUAGCUAGUUGGCGGGGUAAAGGCCCACCAAGGCGACGAUCCGUAGCUGGUCUGAGUGGAUGACCGCCCACACUGGAACUGAGACACGGUCCAGACUCCUACGGGAGCCCGCAGUGGGGAAUGUUGGACGAUGGGCGCAAGCCUGAUCCAGCCAUACCGCGUGGGUGAAGAAGGCCUUCGGGUUGUAAAGCCCUUUUGUUGGGAAAGAAAAGCAGCAGGUUAAUACCCCGCUGUUCUGACGGUACCCAAAGAAUAAGCACCGGCUAACUUCGUG
This 492-nucleotide ribosomal RNA is filed under the name uncultured bacterium. Its description in RNAcentral is "partial 16S ribosomal RNA". It matches the Rfam family "Bacterial small subunit ribosomal RNA", at positions 29 to 507 of the family's 1533-position model. The record is from RNAcentral.